RNAcentral lists this ribosomal RNA (254 nucleotides) under uncultured bacterium. RNAcentral describes it as "partial 16S ribosomal RNA". It matches the Rfam family "Bacterial small subunit ribosomal RNA", at positions 524 to 776 of the family's 1533-position model. The record is from RNAcentral.
UACGGAGGAGGCAAGCGUUAUCCGGAAUUAUUGGGCGUAAAGCGUCCGCAGGUGGCACUUCAAGUCUGCUGUCAAAGACCGGGGCUUAACCCCAGAAAGGCAGUGGAAACUGAAGUGCUAGAGUGCAGUAGGGGUAGAGGGAAUUCCCGGUGUAGCGGUGAAAUGCGUAGAGAUCGGGAAGAACAUCGGUGGCGAAAGCGCUCUGCGUGGACUGCAACUGACACUCAGGGACGAAAGCUAGGGGAGCGAAUGGG